Absidia glauca is the source of this 131-nucleotide non-coding RNA. The record is from Rfam. Lineage: Eukaryota; Fungi; Mucoromycota; Mucoromycetes; Mucorales; Cunninghamellaceae.
AUUCUUGUGCUCGGGCAUAACCAUGCAAGUGAGGUCUCGACUGAUGCUGGUUUAUUGCUGGUUGAAAACUAUAACCAAUACCCGUCUAUUCAUCCUCGUGGUGUAUAGCAAUUUUUUGCGACCCUUGUGGU